This is a long non-coding RNA of Oreochromis aureus, 1614 nucleotides long. NCBI's taxonomy places the organism in Eukaryota, Metazoa, Chordata, Actinopteri, Cichliformes, Cichlidae. The record is from Ensembl.
CCUCUGUAUCCUGAAUGUGAGGCUUUUAUUUUGAACGCUUGCAAGAAAUUAGUUUUUUAUCCACUUGGAGCAUUUUGUUUUGAAGCAGAUCCGGCUGCCCGUUGCUGUGUGUGUGUGUGUGUGUGUGUGUGUGUCAGCUGUUGAGGUCAGAUUGUGUGAGGAGGCGGGAUGAGGCUCAGUGUGUGUGUGAUCGCAGCCUGAUUAACACACACGGUCCUCAGCCUCCUCUUGAACACACACACACACUCCGUGACUUUUCGGCUCUCCAUCAUGGACCUGGACCCCGCCGUCAUCAUCCCCGCCAUCCUCUUCACCGUCGUUGCCAUUUAUUUCGCUACGUCGCUCCUCAGCAGGAAGCCCGACGCCUCCUCCUCGUCUGCCGGGAGCAAGAAGUCCAAACUCGGGUACAGAGACGACCUUCCUCCGCAAGGAGCUCUGGAAGAAGAGCCCGAAGCCUCCCUGCGACCAGAGCCCCCAGCUCCGGCUGUGGAGGACAUAGGAGCCGCCGAGAAGAUCCAGGCUGUCCCAGAACCACAACAUGUCCCUGAACCAGUGAAGAUACCAGAAGCUGAGCCAGAAGCAGCAGAAGAUCCAGAGGACAGAGAAGCAGUCACAGCACCAGAACCUGUGGCACAACCAAAAAAAGUGCCAGAGACAAGAGCAGAACGACCACCGGCGCCAGAAGCAGUCCCUGAACCAACAAAAGAGCCAAAGUCUGUUCCAGAACCAGUCACAGUAUCAGAACUUGUCUCUGAAGCUGUGUCAGGCCCAGAACCUGUUCUUGAACCAGAUGAAGCACAAGAAGCAGCACCAGUGUCUGAACCCAUACCAGGCUUGGUAUCAGGCCCAGAACAAGCUGCAGAACCUACCCCAGAGUCCAAACCUGUAGCAGAGCCCUUAUCAGAACCAGCCAGGUCCCCUGAACUCAUAUCUGAACCCAAAACUGUCCCAGAACCUGUUACUGAUCCAGAGCCUGUGCUCGUGUCUGAAGUGGCAGCCCAGAAGCCCGCGACUGAACCUGAAGAACUGCUUGAGCAGAUGCCCGGACCCAAUGAAGGUCUGACAGAACCAUCGCGUGAGCGGGAACCCGAACCAGAGACCGUCCUGGAUGACGAUGUGGCUGCAGCUGCUGAUGUGCUGAACUUCACCCCGGGAAUGAAACAGAGUAAGGUGGCGGUGCUGAUGACCCAGGAGGACAUGGAGGAGGAGCAGAGGAUAGAGCUCACGUCUGAUUUUACCUCUCUGUAAUCAGCCUCAGCAGACUCGUGCUAGUGUGCUAGGAAGGAGAUGGUAAGGAGAAUAUCCCCUCCCUAAACCCUCAGCCCUGCCCGUCCUUAAUCACCCCUAACGCUGCAGCACAGAUAGACUGACGCCAACAUUCACAAGCCGACAGCAGCUGCAGGAGAGACGUCCCUCAUCUGAAGUCUGGGUUUCUUCAGAAGAACAAACAUGUUGAUAAAAGGAAUUAAAUGUGCUGGAGGAACAUAAUUAAAGAACAUCUGAAAUAACUGCAAUGAUUUGAUUAUUUGAUUCAAUCUGCAAAAUGACAAUAAAAUAAACUCUGAGAAUCAGCUUUCGUGGAACCACAGAAGCAGUCAUGUGAUUCGUUUCAGC